GAUGAGCCGAAGUCGGAUUAGCUAGUUGGUGAGGUAACGGCUCACCAAGGCGACGAUCCGUAGCUGGUCUGAGAGGACGACCAGCCACACUGGGACUGAGACACGGCCCAGACUCCUACGGGAGGCAGCAGUGGGGAAUAUUGGACAAUGGGGGCAACCCUGAUCCAGCGACGCCGCGUGUGUGAAGAAGGCCUGCGGGUUGUAAAGCACUUUUAGUGGGGAUGAAAAGCUCGGGGUUAAUACCUCCGGGUCUUGACCUAACCCAAAGAAAAAGCACCGGCUAACUCUGUGCCAGCAGCCGCGGUAAUACAGAGGGUGCGAGCGUUAAUCGGAAUUACUGGGCGUAAAGCGUGCGUAGACGGUUAUGUAAGUCGGAUGUGAAAGCCCCGGGCUCAACCUGGGAAUGGCAUUCGAGACUGCAUAGCUAGGAUGCGGAAGAGGGAAGUGGAAUUUCCGGUGUAGCGGUGAAAUGCGUAGAUAUCGGAAGG
RNAcentral lists this ribosomal RNA (488 nucleotides) under uncultured Pseudomonadota bacterium. RNAcentral's name for it is "bacterial SSU rRNA". It matches the Rfam family "Bacterial small subunit ribosomal RNA", at positions 224 to 704 of the family's 1533-position model. Lineage: Bacteria; Pseudomonadati; Pseudomonadota. The record is from RNAcentral.